This 398-nucleotide unclassified non-coding RNA is filed under the name uncultured fungus. RNAcentral's name for it is "sequence contains ITS1". The stretch from base 1 to 105 matches the Rfam family "5.8S ribosomal RNA", at positions 50 to 154 of the family's 154-position model. Lineage: Eukaryota; Fungi. The record is from RNAcentral.
AAAGUGCGAUAACUAGUGUGAAUUGCAGAAUUCUGUGAAUCAUCGAACUCUUGAACGCAUCCUGCGCCUUGAGGCUAUCCUCGAGGCACACUUGUUUGAGUGGCGACAAAAAUUCUCUAUCCUAAAAAAAAAAGGAAUCUUUUCCUUUAUUUAAGGGGAUAAUGACAGUGUAGAGAGUUCCUUCAAUGGUUUACUCACAACUCUGUUUAAAAGUAUAGGUUGAACUUGUAACUUCAUAAAUUAAGUUCAUUAGGUUUGAGGAAUUUUAUUAUUCCACUUUAUAUUACCCCUUCUGAAUCUCUUUAUAUUUUUGAAAUUACAUUUCCUCAAUUCAAAAGGAACAAUAUUAUUCAUUAUUUUUCGCCCUCAAAUCAAGUGGGAUUACCCCCUGAAUUUAA